CGGUAGGUAGGACCGGGGAGCUAGCCCUGCCCCACACCUCAAACGGGACACAUGGAGGGGUCAGUAACCUACAAAGGAAUCGGAAGCGGACCUAGAAAGACCUGAUGCUCUUCGUCGAUGUCCUGCCCAGGGGGGUCGGCGGUUGUUCCGUGUACACUCGUAGGGGUGCAACUGGACAGUAGAGGGGUGAAAACGGCCAGGCCCGGGAGGGAGCAACCUAAGCUCUAACGUUUGACGCUCCCUGGAUAUCGGGACGGAGAAGGGUGUCUUGACACCUCGUGGUCUUAAUCCGUGAACAGAGUGGGAGCUACUG
Molecule: signal recognition particle RNA, 313 nt
Filed under: Candidatus Bathyarchaeota archaeon
Lineage: Archaea; Thermoproteati; Candidatus Bathyarchaeota
Description: signal recognition particle sRNA
Rfam family: Archaeal signal recognition particle RNA
Source: RNAcentral